Molecule: long non-coding RNA, 2600 nt
Filed under: Homo sapiens (human)
Lineage: Eukaryota; Metazoa; Chordata; Mammalia; Primates; Hominidae
Description: HSALNT0038721
Source: RNAcentral
UAUAUGUAUAAAACUUUAAAAGAUCCUUUUUCUUCAUCAACAUUCGUAUGAGAACAUCAGGAAAGUGCUUUUGAUUUUCUCUUGGCAAGACAUUUUCCUAGAGAAGUAGUCCACAGUCCCAACCAUUAGCCCCAACUCUGAGGGACAGGAAGUCCCCAUCCAUGGCCAGGCAGACCCGGGUCCAAGCUCUCAGCAUGGUCCCUUUUCUGAGCCAGGUCAAGUCCUUCCACCCGACUGGUCCUCAAAUCCUCUACCUGCUAGAUGGGCCAUUGUGUGCCCAGCCUCCCUGGACGUUACAAGAGCAGUGGUGAGGAAAGCUAGCUCCCUGGCCCCCAGGCCGAGAGGAAAAGAAUCCUGGAUUAAGCCAGAGGCUGAGUUCUCUGGAGGUCUGGGGCACUGACGGGUUACUGGGUAGAGGGCCAGCUUAGGGGAGGGUGUGGUCUGAAGGUAUGGGUAGGGCAAGACCUGACUCCACUCAGUGAUGUGUCCCCAGUGAGGCAUCCUCCCUAGAACCUGUAAGUAACAGGAAGACCCUACCCUGAACAGAGCUCUAGGGAUGAGGGGAGGGUUUGAACCCCUGCUCGCAGGCCGAGGCCACCCCAGUGAAAGCUUGGCUGGACAAUAUCGCCCUACCGUGGAAAUGUCGUUAAGGACUAAGUCCUUUAAAAAAAACUACUGGGAGAAUUUUGUCUCAGGCCUAGAGCCUAUAAUCACUGGCUUCUCCCGGCCGUUAGUUUGAUUUUGUCUUAUGGAUAUGCGAAAUUUUGAAACAAUUGUUUUGUCUUUGCUUUGGCUACUGGGAAGCUCCCUAUCAUACUUAUGACCCAUCUCUCCCUCCUGUAUAGAACUUUAUCGUAUUUGUUUCUGUGUAGCAACCCAACCAGUUGUACAUUCUUUUUUUCACUGAUCCUUCAUCGACUUAUUUUUUGUCCUUUGUAUGUUUUUCCCAAAAGCGACAUUGCAUUAUUUUUGGAAGGAAAUAGCUAUGAGUAAAUAAACAAACGGCAUUGUGAAAAAAAAAAACGGUACCUACACCAUUAACUUUAUUUAUAAAUUACGUGCCUAUAUCACUGCUGCUCUAUGUCUAACAUCAUACAAGCAAAGCCGGCUUUCUCAUUUGCUAGAUAAUAAAUAUCUGUAGGGACAAAUUCUUGUAUUUUCUUCCCAGAUUAGGGUUGCCAAACUUAGCAAAUAAAAAUACAGAAUCCCCAGUUAAAUCUGAAUUUCAGAUAAACAAUGGACACCAUGUGGGGGUAUAAAUAUUGAAAAACGAUUUGUUGUUUAUCCAAAAUUCAAAUGUAACUGGGCAUCCUGUAUUUUACCUGGCAACUUUAUCCCAGGUCCCCAGGAAUCUGACACCAAGUAAUCUGAGGCACUGUCAGAUUCUCAAAACACGAAACACCAUGGAGAAGGUCUCUGGGGGACACUAAUUUGUCCUGUUUUUGUUUUGUUUUUUUCUUCUUUUUGAGACAGAGUCUUGCUGUGUUGUGCAGGCAGGAGUGCAGUGGCGCAAUCGCGGCUCACUGCAACCUCUGCCUCCCAGGUUCAAGUGAUUCUCCUAUCUCAGCCUCCCGAGUAGCUGAGAUUACAGGCGCCCUCCACCACGCCUGGCUAAUUUUUGUAUUUUUAGCAAAGACGAGGUUUCACCAUCUUGACCAGGCUGGUCUCGAACUCCUGACCUCAAGUGAUCUGCCCACCUUGGCCUCCCAAAGUGCUGGGAUUAUUGGUGUGAGCCACCGCGCCUGGAUGCUAAUUUGUCUUUAAUAUAAUUUAUGGGCUGAAUUAUGUCCACACCCACUGCCAAAUUUUUACACUGAAGUCCUAGCCCCCAGUAUCUCAGAAUGUGACUGCAUUUGGAGAAAGGUCUUGAAAGAGGAGGCUAAGUUACAACAAGGAUGGAGUGGGGCCUAAUCAAAUCAACUGGUGUCCUUAGAAGAGGAAAUAUGGACACACAGAGGGACACCAGGGAUGCCCACACACAGAGCAAAGACCCUGUGAGGACACAGCAAGAAAUGCUUCAGAAGAAACCAAACCUGUCGACACCUUGAUCUUGGACUUUCAGCCUCCAGAACUCUGAGAAAAUACAUAUCAGCUGUUUAAGCCACCUAGUCUGUGAUAUUUUGUUAUGGAAGCCCUAGAAAACGAACGUAUUUCUCUUUAACAUUUGAAAGGUCUUAAGUGUUUUUGGAUCACGCACUUCCCUAAAAUCUGAUGAAACCGAAGGUCAUCCUCCUCUGAAAAUACACAUACUGUACCUACACACAUUUGUGUGAAUUUCAGUCUUUGAAGCCCAUGUGGAGACUCCCUAGCCUUGCCCCAAGGAUAAGAUCUCUCUGCCGUCAGGCUUCCUGCCUGAGAUUUCUUAGUGUUUCCACCCCCAUACAGUGUCUGAGGCUCUAAAAUCAGACCAUUCCCCGCAACCGCCCCCAUGUACCUGGUAAACUUCUUACGACUAGGUCUACAACGUUUCCUCCGUCUCCAAUAGCUAGCACCAGUUAAGUAAACAGUAGGUGCUCAGUAAAUGCUUGCUGACUGACCAUGCCUCAGUCUUUGCCCUUCACUUACUUAUAAUGGCUGACUUCAUUUCCUCUUGUUUCUUG